ACUCAACACUAACAAUUUAGAAUGAGCAAAUCAUCGUUACUAUAACAAGCCAAUUCAGUUUGGAAGUUUGAACAACGAGUUAGCUCAAAACUUGUCUUUUCGAGUUU
Molecule: small RNA, 107 nt
Filed under: Flavobacterium sp.
Lineage: Bacteria; Pseudomonadati; Bacteroidota; Flavobacteriia; Flavobacteriales; Flavobacteriaceae
Also listed under: 1 other name
Description: 6S RNA
Rfam family: 6S-Flavo RNA
Source: RNAcentral